UCUUCGAUCUCUGUUUUUUAUUUCUAUUUCAGCAACUUAGGCUUUUAAGCCUAUGCAAUGUCCUACACUGUAUCGCAGACAUGCUCCACACGGUCUGAACCUUGUCGCACUGGGCUGCGUAGGCGAGGCUCAGCUGAGCGGGUGCAGCACUGAUUGGGAAAACUGGCUGCAGCUCGCUCGAAUGUGGAUCCCUGAUAUGUACACAUACAAUUGGCAACCGCUACACCCUCACUAGCAGCCGCCGAGCUGC
Molecule: long non-coding RNA, 250 nt
Filed under: Volvox carteri
Lineage: Eukaryota; Viridiplantae; Chlorophyta; Chlorophyceae; Chlamydomonadales; Volvocaceae
Description: long non-coding RNA (VCAR_LNC003618)
Source: RNAcentral